CAGCCGCCGCGGGAAUACGGAGGGGGCUAGCGUUGUUCGGAAUUACUGGGCGUAAAGCGCACGUAGGCGGCUUGGUAAGUUAGAGGUGAAAGCCUGGAGCUCAACUCCAGAAUUGCCUUUAAGACUGCCGAGCUAGCAGGUGAGAGAGGUAAGUGGAAUUCCGAGUGUAGAGGUGAAAUUCGUAGAUAUUCGGAAGAACACCAGUGGCGAAGGCGGCUUACUGGCUCAUACUGGACGCUGAGGUGCGAAAGCGUGGGGAGCAAACAGGAUUAGAUACCCGAGUAGUCCCUGUCUCUUAUAU
This 301-nucleotide ribosomal RNA is filed under the name uncultured bacterium. RNAcentral's name for it is "partial 16S ribosomal RNA". It matches the Rfam family "Bacterial small subunit ribosomal RNA", at positions 509 to 809 of the family's 1533-position model. The record is from RNAcentral.